GGCUCAGGGAGAACGCUAGCUACAGGCCUCACACACGCAAGCCGCGGGGAAAACGACGAGAGAGCUUCGCUCUCUCGGCGUUCGACCGGCGCACGGGCGAGUAACGCGUCUCCAACUCCGCCCACUCCAGGGGAAUAACCUCGCGAAAGUAAGACUAAUCGCCCCACGGUAUUCUCAGCAGACAUCUAAUGAGGAUUAAAGAUCUAUCGGUAAUCGGAUCGGGGAUCGCGUCUGAUUAGCUUCGUUGGCGGGGUAACGGCCCACCAAGGCGACGAUCAGUAGGGGUUUCUGAGAGGAAGGUCCCCCACAUUGGAACUGAGACACGGUCCAAACUCCUACGGGAGGCAGCAGUGAGGAAUAUUGGUCAAUGGACGAGAGUCUGAACCAGCCAAGUAGCGUGCAGGAUGACGGCCCUAUGGGUUGUAAACUGCUUUUAUAGGGGAAUAAAGUGGACUACGUGUAGUUUAUUGUAUGUACCCUAUGAAUAAGGACCGGCUAAUUCCGUGCCAGCAGCCGCGGUAAUACGGAAGGUUCGGGCGUUAUCCGGAUUUAUUGGGUUUAAAGGGAGCGUAGGCCGUAGAUUAAGCGUGUUGUGAAAUGUAGAUGCUCAACAUCUGACUUGCAGCGCGAACUGGUUUACUUGAGUGUGCGCAACGUAGGCGGAAUUCGUCGUGUAGCGGUGAAAUGCUUAGAUAUGACGAAGAACUCCGAUUGCGAAGGCAGCUUACGGGAGCACAACUGACGCUGAAGCUCGAAGGUGCGGGUAUCAAACAGGAUUAGAUACCCUGGUAGUCCGCACAGUAAACGCUGGAUGCCCGCUGUUGGCUCAUUAGAGUCAGCGGCCAAGCGAAAGCAUUAAGCAUCCCACCUGGGGAGUACGCCGGCAACGGUGAAACUCAAAGGAAUUGACGGGGGCCCGCACAAGCGGAGGAACAUGUGGUUUAAUUCGAUGAUACGCGAGGAACCUUACCCGGGCUUGAAUUGCAGACGCACGCGGCAGAGAUGCCAAGGCCCUUCGGGGCGUCUGUGAAGGUGCUGCAUGGUUGUCGUCAGCUCGUGCCGUGAGGUGUCGGCUUAAGUGCCAUAACGAGCGCAACCCCUUUUCUUAGUUGCCAUCAGGUCAUGCUGGGCACUCUGGGAAUACUGCCACCGUAAGGUGUGAGGAAGGUGGGGAUGACGUCAAAUCAGCACGGCCCUUACGUCCGGGGCUACACACGUGUUACAAUGGCCGGUACAGAGGGCAGGUUGCAUGUAAAUGCGAUCGAAUCUUAAAAGCCGGUCCCAGUUCGGACUGAGGUCUGCAACCCGACCUCACGAAGCUGGAUUCGCUAGUAAUCGCGCAUCAGCCAUGGCGCGGUGAAUACGUUCCCGGGCCUUGUACACACCGCCCGUC
This 1393-nucleotide ribosomal RNA is filed under the name uncultured bacterium. RNAcentral describes it as "16S ribosomal RNA". It matches the Rfam family "Bacterial small subunit ribosomal RNA", at positions 21 to 1398 of the family's 1533-position model. The record is from RNAcentral.